AACCAGCACCUCAAGUGGUCAGGAGGAUUAUUGGGCCUAAAGCAUCCGUAGCCGGCUCUGUAAGUUUUCGGUUAAAUCUAUAUGCUCAACGUAUAGGCUGCCGAAGAUACUGCAAAGCUAGGGAAUGGGAGAGGUAGACGGUACUCGGUAGGAAGGGGUAAAAUCCUUUGAUCUAUCGAUGACCACCUGUGGCGAAGGCGGUCUACCAGACAUGUUCGACGGUGAGGGAUGAAAGCUGGGGGCACGAACCGG
This 252-nucleotide ribosomal RNA is filed under the name uncultured archaeon. Its description in RNAcentral is "partial 16S ribosomal RNA". It matches the Rfam family "Archaeal small subunit ribosomal RNA", at positions 474 to 727 of the family's 1478-position model. The record is from RNAcentral.